CGGGACAAAAAGAGCGCGCAUUCGCCCGGCGCGCGCGGCCCCGCCUUGUCUUGGCUGCGGCUCCACGUAAUGGCGGAGAUGAUUUUUUAAAUUUUUCUUAGCAUAGAGGGAGAUACUUCCGAAGGUAGCUCGUGAAACCUCCCGUCCCUCCAAGCACGAGCAGACUUAGCAACGUUUCAGAACUGAAGGGUUGCACUGGGUUCCUGUGUCUGAAGUUCUUCCUGCGGCUACAACCAAGCUACAGCUAAGGAGUAACAUAUUUCACGGGUUCCAGGAGACAAAAAGGUAUGCGCCCCAACUAUGGAGUAAACCUGAGGAGCCACAGCCCAGAGACUGCAAACUGUGUCAGAUGAACAAGAAGCAACUGGACAGCUGCUGAACUCAAGGAUUUGGAGGUCAGUUGACGGCCAUGGAGCCUAGCAUCUCAAAGGAGCAGAUUUUCAUUUUAUACCUGAGCAGCUGGCCUGGAAAAAUAAAUCACCCAUACAUUUAAAAGACUCUAUAAUAAUCACAAAAUAGUCCAAUACA
This is a long non-coding RNA of Lutra lutra (Eurasian river otter), 528 nucleotides long. RefSeq lists it as uncharacterized. NCBI's taxonomy places the organism in Eukaryota, Metazoa, Chordata, Mammalia, Carnivora, Mustelidae. The record is from RefSeq and is a predicted model, not a curated record. The transcript has 3 exons.